UACAGAGGUCUCGAGCGUUGUUCGGGUUCAUUGGGCGUAAAGGGUGCGUAGGUGGCGAGGCAAGUCGGAUGUGAAAUCCCGGAGCUCAACUCCGGAACUGCAUUCAAUACUGCUUUGCUCGAGUACUGGAGAGGAGAUUGGAAUUUACGGUGUAGCAGUGAAAUGCGUAGAUAUCGUAAGGAAGACCAGUGGCGAAGGCGAAUCUCUGGACAGUUACUGACACUGAGGCACGAAGGCCAGGGGAGCAAACGGG
This 253-nucleotide ribosomal RNA is filed under the name uncultured bacterium. Its description in RNAcentral is "partial 16S ribosomal RNA". It matches the Rfam family "Bacterial small subunit ribosomal RNA", at positions 524 to 776 of the family's 1533-position model. The record is from RNAcentral.